GAAUUUACCGUGCAGGGGAGAUACUAUGCUCACAAAGGUGGUUUUCCCAAUGCAAGACUCAUUCAUCACACUCUGGAUGUGCUGACCCCUGUGAUUUCCCCAAAUGUGGAAAAUUGGCUGCAUAAUCUGUGGCAGUGAGGGGGGCUGUGUUUAAGAUUCCCUCA
Neotoma lepida (desert woodrat) is the source of this 164-nucleotide small nuclear RNA. It matches the Rfam family "U1 spliceosomal RNA". From Rfam's summary of the family: U1 is a small nuclear RNA (snRNA) component of the spliceosome (involved in pre-mRNA splicing). NCBI's taxonomy places the organism in Eukaryota, Metazoa, Chordata, Mammalia, Rodentia, Cricetidae. The record is from Rfam.